GAUGAACGCUGGCGGCGUGCCUAAUACAUGCAAGUCGAGCGAACAGACGAGGAGCUUGCUCCUCUGACGUUAGCGGCGGACGGGUGAGUAACACGUGGAUAACCUACCUAUAAGACUGGGAUAACUUCGGGAAACCGGAGCUAAUACCGGAUAAUAUAUUGAACCGCAUGGUUCAAUAGUGAAAGACGGUUUUGCUGUCACUUAUAGAUGGAUCCGCGCCGCAUUAGCUAGUUGGUAAGGUAACGGCUUACCAAGGCAACGAUGCGUAGCCGACCUGAGAGGGUGAUCGGCCACAUUGGGACUGAGAUACGGCCCAGACUCCUACGGGAGGCAGCAGUGGGGAAUAUUGCACAAUGGGCGGAAGCCUGAUGCAGCAACGCCGCGUGCGGGAUGACGGCCUUCGGGUUGUAAACCGCUUUCGCCUGUGACGAAGCGUGGGUGACGGUAAUGGGUAAAGAAGCACCGGCUAACUACGUG
RNAcentral lists this ribosomal RNA (477 nucleotides) under uncultured bacterium. Its description in RNAcentral is "partial 16S ribosomal RNA". It matches the Rfam family "Bacterial small subunit ribosomal RNA", at positions 28 to 507 of the family's 1533-position model. The record is from RNAcentral.